RNAcentral lists this ribosomal RNA (497 nucleotides) under uncultured bacterium. RNAcentral describes it as "partial 16S ribosomal RNA". It matches the Rfam family "Bacterial small subunit ribosomal RNA", at positions 28 to 507 of the family's 1533-position model. The record is from RNAcentral.
GAUGAACGCUGGCGGCGUGCCUAAUACAUGCAAGUCGAGCGAACGGACGAGAAGCUUGCUUCUCUGAUGUUAGCGGCGGACGGGUGAGUAACACGUGGAUAACCUACCUAUAAGACUGGGAUAACUUCGGGAAACCGGAGCUAAUACCGGAUAAUAUUUUGAACCGCAUGGUUCAAAAGUGAAAGACGGUCUUGCUGUCACUUAUAGAUGGAUCCGCGCUGCAUUAGCUAGUUGGUAAGGUAACGGCUUACCAAGGCAACGAUGCAUAGCCGACCUGAGAGGGUGAUCGGCCACACUAGAACUGAGACACGGUCCAGACUCCUACGGGAGGCAGCAGUAGGGAAUCUUCCGAAAUGGGCGAAAGCCUGACGGAGCAACGCCGCGUGAGUGAUGAAGGUCUUCGGAUCGUAAAACUCUGUUAUUAGGGAAGAACAUAUGUGUAAGUAACUGUGCACAUCUUGACGGUACCUAAUCAGAAAGCCACGGCUAACUACGUG